RNAcentral lists this ribosomal RNA (504 nucleotides) under uncultured bacterium. RNAcentral describes it as "partial 16S ribosomal RNA". It matches the Rfam family "Bacterial small subunit ribosomal RNA", at positions 29 to 523 of the family's 1533-position model. The record is from RNAcentral.
AUUGAACGCUGGCGGCAGGCCUAACACAUGCAAGUCGAACGGUAGCACAGAGAGCUUGCUCUCGGGUGACGAGUGGCGGACGGGUGAGUAACGUCUGGGAAACUGCCCGAUGGAGGGGGAUAACUACUGGAAACGGUAGCUAAUACCGCAUAAAGUCGCAAGACCAAAGUGGGGGGCCUUCGGGCCUCACACCAUCGGAUGUGCCCAGAGGGGGUUAGCUAGUAGGUGGGGUAAUGGGUCACCUAGGCGACGAUCCCAAGCUGGUCUGAGAGGAUGACCAGCCACACUGGAACUGAGACACGGUCCAGACUCCUACGGGAGGCAGCAGUGGGGAAUAUUGCACAAUGGGCGCAAGCCUGAUGCAGCCAUGCCGCGUGUAUGAAGAAGGCCUUCGGGUUGUAAAGUACUUUCAGCGGGGAGGAAGGCGGUGAAGUUAAUAGCUUCACCGAUUGACGUUACCCGCAGAAGAAGCACCGGCUAACUCCGUGCCAGCCGCCGCGGUAA